Long non-coding RNA from Corylus avellana, 595 nucleotides. RefSeq lists it as uncharacterized. The record is from RefSeq and is a predicted model, not a curated record. Lineage: Eukaryota; Viridiplantae; Streptophyta; Magnoliopsida; Fagales; Betulaceae.
AAUACGAGUAAUGCUACGCAGUAGCAUUUCUUCAGCAAACUGUCCGCAUGGUGCUGAGUUGUCCUGGUUAAGUGAACCAUGGUUAUCAGCUUUUUUUUAUAAAAAUAAAAUAAAAUCACGCCUGAAGAGUAAAAGUGUGAUAGGGUUUCGUAAUUUUUAUUUUUUCCCCCAAAACCUUUCCCCGUCCUCCUCUCCCACACUUCUCCCUCCCGCCUUCUCCCAUCACCAAGCACUGCCGCCACCGAACAGACUGCCACCCACGGCACCAACUCGAAAUCCGGAGACGCCACCCAGCCACCACUGGCGACGCCCGGUGAGUUGGAGAUGAUGUAAGAUUUUGGGCGGGAUCAAGGAGAAGCAGAGCUACAUGCUCGUUAGAGGGAUUUUCAAGAAAUUCAAAAGAACACGGGUGUAAAGGAUGAUAAACGAUGGGAUUUGAUUUGAUUUUCAAGAACUACACGUUGUCAUAUGUAUUAGCCAUUUUUCCUGAUUUGAUUUGAGUUUUAAUAAGAGAAUGUGUUGUUUGAAGUUGCAAAUUAUUUUGUAUGUGGACCACUGUGCUUGUGAAAUUGGUUAAGAAAGGUUGUGUACAUGA